RNAcentral lists this ribosomal RNA (560 nucleotides) under Curvularia sp. RNAcentral describes it as "eukaryotic LSU rRNA". The stretch from base 195 to 348 matches the Rfam family "5.8S ribosomal RNA". The record is from RNAcentral. Lineage: Eukaryota; Fungi; Ascomycota; Dothideomycetes; Pleosporales; Pleosporaceae.
AUUACACAAUAAAAUAUGAAGGCUGUACGCGGCUGUGCUCUCGGGCCAGUUUUGCGGAGGCUGAAUUAUUUAUUACCCUUGUCUUUUGCGCACUUGUUGUUUCCUGGGCGGGUUCGCCCGCCACCAGGACCACAUCAUAAACCUUUUUUAUGCAGUUGCAAUCAGCGUCAGUAUAACAAAUGUAAAUCAUUUACAACUUUCAACAACGGAUCUCUUGGUUCUGGCAUCGAUGAAGAACGCAGCGAAAUGCGAUACGUAGUGUGAAUUGCAGAAUUCAGUGAAUCAUCGAAUCUUUGAACGCACAUUGCGCCCUUUGGUAUUCCAAAGGGCAUGCCUGUUCGAGCGUCAUUUGUACCCUCAAGCUUUGCUUGGUGUUGGGCGUUUUUUGUCUUUGGUUGCCAAAGACUCGCCUUAAAAGGAUUGGCAGCCGGCCUACUGGUUUCGCAGCGCAGCACAUUUUUGCGCUUGCAAUCAGCAAAAGAGGACGGCAAUCCAUCAAGACUCCUUCUCACGUUUGACCUCGGAUCAGGUAGGGAUACCCGCUGAACUUAAGCAUAUCA